UGGGAGCGAGCCUGGGGGAUGGGCAUCUUCGGAGGCUAACAAGCUUCCCACCCCCACAGCCCCGUGGACCCCCUGCUGGGCCUGGACAGAGCCCUCCAGGGGGUGUCCUUGCACAGAUGGCAGAAGGGAUGCGUCCUGGCCCCACAAUGAUAAGAGGCCAGGUCAGUCCCUCAUGACCGGCUUGCAGGGGGGCAGGGAGAAGGCAGAGUGGCUGAAAUACAGGAGGAGGCGGACCCCAAGGCAAGGAGGGGAGUGUGCGGAUGAUACUGGAGAGGAGCCGCUUGAGCGAGGUGACCUUCACGGGCGCACGGACUGGGAUGCUACCGACGGAGGCCCUGCUUACAGAACUGCCUGGAGACCACGGAGGACCUGGCUUCUCACCAGCCUGAGACUCACUCUUGAAGGACACUGCUACCUGCAAAAGCCAGAGCAGCAACAACCCAGAGAAUCAGCAGGUGACCAAAGACAUCAAGGAGAACCAGGCAUUGCUUUGUGGGAUACCCUGUCCGAUACCCUCGCCUAUCAGGGAGGAAGAACUUGGGGAGUGCCCCAUGGCAAGAGCAGGCAUGGAGGACACCCCUGCC
Molecule: long non-coding RNA, 584 nt
Organism: Ailuropoda melanoleuca (giant panda)
Lineage: Eukaryota; Metazoa; Chordata; Mammalia; Carnivora; Ursidae
Exons: 4
Source: RefSeq, a predicted model, not a curated record